RNAcentral lists this ribosomal RNA (705 nucleotides) under uncultured archaeon. Its description in RNAcentral is "bacterial SSU rRNA". It matches the Rfam family "Archaeal small subunit ribosomal RNA", at positions 1 to 723 of the family's 1478-position model. The record is from RNAcentral.
UCUGGUUGAUCCUGCCGGACCGACUGCUAUCGGAUUGAGAUUAGCCAUGCGAGUCGAACGUCCUCCUGUUGCGGGGGGCGUGGCGUACGGCUCAGUAACACGUAGUCAACCUGCCCUGGAGACACGGACAACCCCGGGAAACUGGGAUUAAUCCGUGAUAGGUCAUCCCAUCUGGAAGGAGGGAUGGCUCAAAGGGGUGCGCGGGCUUCUUCCGUGCAUUCGCUCCAGGAUGGGACUGCGUCCGAUCAGGCUGUUGGCGGGGUAAUGGCCACCAAACCUGGUUUAACCGGUACGGGCCUUGAUAGAGGUGGCCCGGAGAUGGACACUGAGAGAAGGGUCCAGGUCCUACGGGGCGCAGCAGGCGCGAAACCUUCGCAAUGCGCGAAAGCGUGACGAGGUUAAUCCGAGUGGUCCCCGCUGAGGGGAUCUUUUGUCGGCUGUAAAAAGGCCGGCGAAUAAGGGGAGGGCAAGUCUGGUGUCGGCCGCCGCGGUAAUACCAGCUCCUCGAGUGGUCGGGGCGAUUAUUGGGCCUAAAGCAUCCGUAGCCGGUUCCGUAGGUCUUCUGUAAAUCCAGGCGUUUACGGUUGGGCGCGAGAAACCGGGGACUAGAGGCGGAGAGGGGCGGGACCGGGUGAGGGUAAAUCUUGAUCGGAAGACCCAGUGCAAGCGCCACGAAGGGUCGCGGGAGUGAGUGGGGGGACCGGU